RNAcentral lists this long non-coding RNA (1017 nucleotides) under Homo sapiens (human). RNAcentral's name for it is "HSALNT0207318". Lineage: Eukaryota; Metazoa; Chordata; Mammalia; Primates; Hominidae. The record is from RNAcentral.
AGCGAGACUCCGUCUCAGAAAACAAACAAACAAACAAACAAAAAAAAAAAGUUCGCUGCAAAGAUUUUGUUUGAUACAUAUUAUUUAGUUAAAGAAAUUUUCUUCUACUCCUAGUUGGCCUAACAUGACAAGUACAUGUUGAAUAAAAAUUGAAUUAUUGUUUUGCAUUUGUUAAGCUGGUGAUUUUACCCUUCACUUCAUUAAUAUGGCAAAUUAUAGCCACAUUAACAUACUACCCCUUGCAUUCCUGGGAUGAAUUUACUUGCUUAGAAAGUAUUACCUUUAUUUAUAACACAGAAUUGGGUUUUACUUAAUUAUAUUUCAUUUGGAAUUUUUGCAUUCAUCUUCAUAAUUUUAUUUUUUCUUACAUUGUCUUUUUGUUUGGUUGAUUUUGAGAGACAGGGUCUUGCUCUGUUGCCCAGGCUGGAGUGCAGUGGCAUGAUCAUCAUAGCUCACUGCAGCCUUGGACUCCUGGGCUCACUUGUAAGGUCUCAGCUUCCCAAGUAGCUGGGACUACAGGUAUGUGCCACCAUGCCCGGCUAAUUUUUAAAUUUCAUGUAGAGAUGGUGUCUUGCAAUGUUGCCCAGGCUGGUCUCAAACUCCUGGUCUCAGACAACUCUCCCACCUCGGCCUCCCAAAGUACUAGAAGAACAGAUGUGAGCCACCUGGCCCAGCUGAUUCUUUUCUUACAUAAUCUUUGUCAGGUUUGGGUACCAAGGUUAAAUUUGAUUCAUAACUUUAUUGAGUUGCUUUCUCUUGUUAUAUUCUUUUAAAUAGCUUUUAUAAAUAUGUUUGUAUGCUUACAAAAUCACCUAGAUCUGGUAUCUGUUUGGGGUAAUUUUUUUUUUAAUUGCAAUGCAAUUUCUGUAACUGUUAUUCAUCAACCCAAGUAUUUCAUUUCUUCUUGACCAAUUCUAACAAUAAAUCCUAUUUAUCUGUUUUCAAAUAUAUUGGCAGAAAGGUGUUCAUAAUGGUUCUCUCAUAUUUAAAAUUUUUUAUUUGAUAUGGAGUUUCUUA